This 1075-nucleotide unclassified non-coding RNA is filed under the name Hevea brasiliensis (rubber tree). The record is from RNAcentral. Lineage: Eukaryota; Viridiplantae; Streptophyta; Magnoliopsida; Malpighiales; Euphorbiaceae.
GAAGAGAAAAUGCAUAAACGAAGAGAGCUUAGUACUUCCAGUAGUAUUGCUGGUCCAAGUGAGAUUGAGUAUUGCUCGACAGCAGCACCAUCUUUUGCUUCUGCUGUAGAAGGUGGAGAAGUUGUUACUUCUCAAGAGACAUGUACAGCUCCAACAACUAGACAACCUCAACGCACGAGACAGAAUAGGGAGGACGAUUUUGACUUGGAUCUUGAGGAUAUCAUGGUUAUGGAAGCCAUAUGGUUAUCCAUUCAGGAGAAUGGCAGAAAUCGAAGUAUGGACUAUAGUGAUGUUGGUCCAUCAGAACAAUAUACAGAAGAAGAUCAUCGAUGUGUCCCAGCAGUCAAUCCCACAGCUUCUGGCUCAUCUUCGUCUCCUUCUGGUGGUCUUGCUUGUGCAAUUGCAGCCCUGGCUGAGCGCCAGCAAAUGAGUGGAGAGUCCAGUAGCUACAGUCGGAACAUGUCAUCAUCGUACAAUGAGCAUCCUUCAUGUGAUAGGUUUUCCAAUGGGGAGGAGCUAGAGAAUGAUGAUUACCCUCAUGCUGAGGGCACCAUGCACGUGUCACCUGAAAGCCAUCUGGAAAUACCAAGGGAGGACGGUGAAUGGGCUGAUCAUGGUUCCAUGGUAGCCGAAGUUGGAACUAGUUAUGCAGUCUCUGACGAAAUGGAAGAUGAUGCUUCAUUCCCUCUGCAGGGUGAAAUGGUAAGCGAUCUUCAACCCAACACUAGUUCAAUAGUUCCCGAGAAUUUUGAAGAGCAGAUGAUGUUAGCUAUGGCUGUUUCACUGGCUGAGGCAAGUGCACGGUCUAGUCCACCCGGGGUGGCCUGGCACUAGUAGUGCUAUCGAUGUGGGUUAUGAGGAUUCCACUUGUGUUGCAUUGCCACUCAACCCAAAAAGAAAAAGUAAAAAAAGAAAAUGCUUCUACUUUUUUUCCCUUCCUUUCUCCUCUACCUUUUUCCAUCUCACUUUUCCUACUUUUCAUCCCUUUCGUAUCUCGAUAUACUGUUGUACGAAAACAAAGAAAUUGAUUCUAGUGAAUGAAAUGUUGCUUGAGCCCUGCAUAUAACAAGUUUUG